This 253-nucleotide ribosomal RNA is filed under the name uncultured bacterium. Its description in RNAcentral is "partial 16S ribosomal RNA". It matches the Rfam family "Bacterial small subunit ribosomal RNA", at positions 524 to 776 of the family's 1533-position model. The record is from RNAcentral.
UACGUAGGGGGCAAGCGUUACCCGGAUUUACUGGGUGUAAAGGGAGCGUAGACGGCUGUGCAAGUCUGAAGUGAAAGCCCGUGGCUCAACCGCGGAACUGCUUUGGAAACUGUAUAGCUUGAGUACUGGAGAGGCAGGCGGAAUUCCUAGUGUAGCGGUGAAAUGCGUAGAUAUUAGGAGGAACACCAGUGGCGAAGGCGGCCUGCUGGACAGAAACUGACGUUGAGGCUCGAAAGCGUGGGUAGCAAACAGG